GGGGACGUCUGGUUCGACAGGGACAAGUUCUUUAAAACUGCAAGCCGGCCAUGAUCCAAGCCGUAAAACGAGAUCAAAAAUUAAUUGCUAACAAACCGUUAGCUCUUGCUUACGCUAAUUAAAACUUAGUUGUGAGCCGUCCAUACAUUCUCUCUCCUGAUAGGGAAUUGUGGGUGUAAACUUAGUCAGGAUGCAACCCAUUUGGUUUGAUCCACCGGAAUAGGCCAAGUUUAAAGGAUCUAACUUAAGAUUUCCUGCCAAUUGGAACAGUCUUAAGAAAAAUAAAAAUUGGCUAAGCUUGUAGAGAUUUUAAGGAAUUUUCCUUGGACCCCGCCUCACUAGCGGGCGUCUCCACAA
Molecule: transfer-messenger RNA, 357 nt
Filed under: Candidatus Gottesmanbacteria bacterium
Lineage: Bacteria; Candidatus Gottesmaniibacteriota
Rfam family: transfer-messenger RNA
About the family: Bacterial tmRNA, also known as 10Sa RNA or SsrA, is named for its dual tRNA and mRNA-like properties. Its role is to liberate the mRNA from a stalled ribosome. To accomplish this part of the tmRNA is used as a reading frame that ends in a translation stop signal.
Source: RNAcentral